CCUACGGGAGGCAGCAGUGGGGAAUAUUGGGCAAUGGAGGAAACUCUGACCCAGCGACGCCGCGUGAGGGAUGAAGGCCUUCGGGUUGUAAACCUCUUUCAGUAGGGAAGAAGCGAAAGUGACGGUACCUACAGAAGAAGCACCGGCUAACUAUGUGCCAGCAGCCGCGGUAAUACAUAGGGUGCAAGCGUUGUCCGGAAUUAUUGGGCGUAAAGAGCUCGUAGGUGGUUCGAUACGUCGGAUGUGAAAAUCAGGGGCUCAACCCCUGACCUGCAUCCGAUACGGUCGAGCUAGAGUUUGGUAGGGGAGACUGGAAUUCCUGGUGUAGCGGUGGAAUGCGCAGAUAUCAGGAGGAACACCGAUGGCGAAGGCAGGUCUCUGGGCCAAUACUGACACUGAGGAGCGAAAGCGUGGGGAGCGAACAGGAUUAGAUACCCUGGUAGUCCACGCCGUAAACGGUGGGCGCUAGUUGUGCGAACCUUCCACGGUUUGUGCGACGCAGCUAACGCAUUAAGCGCCCCGCCUGGGGAGUACGAUCGCAAGAUUAAAACUCAAAGGAAUUGACGG
RNAcentral lists this ribosomal RNA (567 nucleotides) under uncultured bacterium. Its description in RNAcentral is "bacterial SSU rRNA". It matches the Rfam family "Bacterial small subunit ribosomal RNA", at positions 338 to 916 of the family's 1533-position model. The record is from RNAcentral.